Molecule: ribosomal RNA, 450 nt
Filed under: uncultured organism
Description: partial 16S ribosomal RNA
Rfam family: Bacterial small subunit ribosomal RNA
Source: RNAcentral
ACGUACACUCCUGCGGGAAGCAGCAGUGGGGAAUAUUGGACAAUGGGCGCAAGCCUGAUCCAGCCAUGCCGCGUGAGUGAUGAAGGCCCUAGGGUUGUAAAGCUCUUUCACCGGUGAAGAUAAUGACGGUAACCGGCGAAGAAGCCCCGGCUAACUUCGUGCCAGCAGCCGCGGUAAUACGAAGGGGGCUAGCGUUGUUCGGAUUUACUGGGCGUAAAGCGCACGUAGGCGGACUAUUAAGUCAGGGGUGAAAUCCCGGGGCUCAACCCCGGAACUGCCUUUGAUACUGGUAGUCUUGAGUUCGAGAGAGGUGAGUGGAAUUCCGAGUGUAGAGGUGAAAUUCGUAGAUAUUCGGAGGAACACCAGUGGCGAAGGCGGCUCACUGGCUCGAUACUGACGCUGAGGUGCGAAAGCGUGGGGAGCAAACAGGAUUAGAAACCCUGGUAGUCC